AGAGUUUGAUCCUGGCUCAGAUUGAACGCUGGCGGCAGGCCUAACACAUGCAAGUCGAGCGGUAACAGAAAGAAAGCUUGCUUUCUUUGCUGACGAGCGGCGGACGGGUGAGUAAUGCCUGGGAAUAUACCCUGAUGUGGGGGAUAACUAUUGGAAACGAUAGCUAAUACCGCAUAAUCUCUUCGGAGCAAAGAGGGGGACCUUCGGGCCUCUCGCGUCAGGAUUAGCCCAGGUGGGAUUAGCUAGUUGGUGGGGUAAUGGCUCACCAAGGCGACGAUCCCUAGCUGGUCUGAGAGGAUGAUCAGCCACACUGGAACUGAGACACGGUCCAGACUCCUACGGGAGGCAGCAGUGGGGAAUAUUGCACAAUGGGGGGAACCCUGAUGCAGCCAUGCCGCGUGUAUGAAGAAGGCCUUCGGGUUGUAAAGUACUUUCAGUUGUGAGGAAGGCAGUUAAGUUAAUAGCUUAGCUGUUUGACGUUAGCAACAGAAGAAGCACCGGCUAACUCCGUGCCAGCAGCCGCGGUAAUACGGAGGGUGCGAGCGUUAAUCGGAAUUACUGGGCGUAAAGCGCGUGCAGGCGGUCUGUUAAGCAAGAUGUGAAAGCCCGGGGCUCAACCUCGGGACAGCAUUUUGAACUGGCAGACUAGAGUCUUGUAGAGGGGGGUAGGAUUUCAGUGUAGCGGUGAAAUGCGUAGAGAUCUG
This 704-nucleotide ribosomal RNA is filed under the name uncultured bacterium. Its description in RNAcentral is "bacterial SSU rRNA". It matches the Rfam family "Bacterial small subunit ribosomal RNA", at positions 8 to 700 of the family's 1533-position model. The record is from RNAcentral.